AGUGAACGCUGGCGGCGUGCCUAAUACAUGCAAGUCGAACGGAGAUUAAGUAGCUUGCUAUUUAAUCUUAGUGGCGCACGGGUGAGUAAUAUAUAGCUAACUUGCCCAUUACUAAGGGACAACAGUUGGAAACGACUGCUAAUACCUUAUACUCCGUAUCUAUAUAAGUAGAUACGGGAAAGUUUUUCGGUAAUGGAUAGGGCUAUAUCGUAUCAGCUAGUUGGUAAGGUACUGGCUUACCAAGGCUAUGACGCGUAACUGGUCUGAGAGGAUGAUCAGUCACACUGGAACUGAGACACGGUCCAGACUCCUACGGGAGGCAGCAGUAGGGAAUAUUGCUCAAUGGGGGAAACCCUGAAGCAGCAACGCCGCGUGGAGGAUGACACUUUUCGGAGCGUAAACUCCUUUUCUUGGGAAAGAAUUAUGACGGUACCCAAGGAAUAAGCACCGGCUAACUCCGU
Molecule: ribosomal RNA, 461 nt
Filed under: uncultured bacterium
Lineage: Bacteria
Description: partial 16S ribosomal RNA
Rfam family: Bacterial small subunit ribosomal RNA
Source: RNAcentral